Molecule: ribosomal RNA, 253 nt
Filed under: uncultured bacterium
Lineage: Bacteria
Description: partial 16S ribosomal RNA
Rfam family: Bacterial small subunit ribosomal RNA
Source: RNAcentral
UACGUAGGGUACGAGCGUUAAUCGGAAUUACUGGGCGUAAAGCGUGCGCAGGCGGUUCGCCAAGUCAGGUGUGAAAUCCCCGGGCUUAACCUGGGAAUUGCGCUUGAAACUAGCGGGCUUGAGUGUGGCAGAGGGGGGUGGAAUUCCACGUGUAGCGGUGAAAUGCGCAGAUAUCAGGAGGAACACCAAUGGCGAAGGCAGCUCGCUGGAACGGUACUGACGCUGAGGCGCGAAAGCGUGGGGAGCGAACAGG